UCAAACUUGGUCAUUUAGAGGAAGUAAAAGUCGUAACAAGGUUUCCGUAGGUGAACCUGCGGAAGGAUCAUUAAAAGGUCUAGUCGAAUCUUUGGUAAUUUUCCCAUCGAUUUCGACUUCCUGAUCAUCCCUUAUGUGCACUUUUGAAAUAAUGCUUUGGUAGGUCGAAAGAUCUACCAAAAGUUUUAUCAAAAUAGCCUUAUUUUUUUGUCUGAAAUAAAAAUAUUUUAAUUUUUUAAAAUACAACUUUCAACAACGGAUCUCUUGGCUCUCGCAUCGAUGAAGAACGCAGC
This 293-nucleotide unclassified non-coding RNA is filed under the name uncultured fungus. Its description in RNAcentral is "partial contains small subunit ribosomal RNA, internal transcribed spacer 1, and 5.8S ribosomal RNA". The stretch from base 1 to 73 matches the Rfam family "Eukaryotic small subunit ribosomal RNA", at positions 1759 to 1831 of the family's 1831-position model. Lineage: Eukaryota; Fungi. The record is from RNAcentral.